UACGUAGGGGGCAAGCGUUGUCCGGAAUCAUUGGGCGUAAAGAGCGCGUAGGCGGCCCGAUAAGUCCGCUGUGAAAGUCAAGGGCUCAACCCUUGAAUGCCGGUGGAUACUGUCGGGCUAGAGUCCGGAAGAGGCGAGUGGAAUUCCUGGUGUAGCGGUGAAAUGCGCAGAUAUCGGGAGGAACACCGGUGGCGAAGGCGGUUCUCUGGGCCUUACCUGACGCUGAGGAGCGAAAGCGUGGGGAGCGAACAGG
This 253-nucleotide ribosomal RNA is filed under the name uncultured bacterium. Its description in RNAcentral is "partial 16S ribosomal RNA". It matches the Rfam family "Bacterial small subunit ribosomal RNA", at positions 524 to 776 of the family's 1533-position model. The record is from RNAcentral.